Molecule: ribosomal RNA, 1873 nt
Filed under: Escherichia coli
Lineage: Bacteria; Pseudomonadati; Pseudomonadota; Gammaproteobacteria; Enterobacterales; Enterobacteriaceae
Description: partial 23S ribosomal RNA
Rfam family: Bacterial large subunit ribosomal RNA
Source: RNAcentral
GGGUUGUGAGGUUAAGCGACUAAGCGUACACGGUGGAUGCCCUGGCAGUCAGAGGCGAUGAAGGACGUGCUAAUCUGCGAUAAGCGUCGGUAAGGUGAUAUGAACCGUUAUAACCGGCGAUUUCCGAAUGGGGAAACCCAGUGUGUUUCGACACACUAUCAUUAACUGAAUCCAUAGGUUAAUGAGGCGAACCGGGGGAACUGAAACAUCUAAGUACCCCGAGGAAAAGAAAUCAACCGAGAUUCCCCCAGUAGCGGCGAGCGAACGGGGAGCAGCCCAGAGCCUGAAUCAGUGUGUGUGUUAGUGGAAGCGUCUGGAAAGGCGCGCGAUACAGGGUGACAGCCCCGUACACAAAAAUGCACAUGCUGUGAGCUCGAUGAGUAGGGCGGGACACGUGGUAUCCUGUCUGAAUAUGGGGGGACCAUCCUCCAAGGCUAAAUACUCCUGACUGACCGAUAGUGAACCAGUACCGUGAGGGAAAGGCGAAAAGAACCCCGGCGAGGGGAGUGAAAAAGAACCUGAAACCGUGUACGUACAAGCAGUGGGAGCACGCUUAGGCGUGUGACUGCGUACCUUUUGUAUAAUGGGUCAGCGACUUAUAUUCUGUAGCAAGGUUAACCGAAUAGGGGAGCCGAAGGGAAACCGAGUCUUAACUGGGCGUUAAGUUGCAGGGUAUAGACCCGAAACCCGGUGAUCUAGCCAUGGGCAGGUUGAAGGUUGGGUAACACUAACUGGAGGACCGAACCGACUAAUGUUGAAAAAUUAGCGGAUGACUUGUGGCUGGGGGUGAAAGGCCAAUCAAACCGGGAGAUAGCUGGUUCUCCCCGAAAGCUAUUUAGGUAGCGCCUCGUGAAUUCAUCUCCGGGGGUAGAGCACUGUUUCGGCAAGGGGGUCAUCCCGACUUACCAACCCGAUGCAAACUGCGAAUACCGGAGAAUGUUAUCACGGGAGACACACGGCGGGUGCUAACGUCCGUCGUGAAGAGGGAAACAACCCAGACCGCCAGCUAAGGUCCCAAAGUCAUGGUUAAGUGGGAAACGAUGUGGGAAGGCCCAGACAGCCAGGAUGUUGGCUUAGAAGCAGCCAUCAUUUAAAGAAAGCGUAAUAGCUCACUGGUCGAGUCGGCCUGCGCGGAAGAUGUAACGGGGCUAAACCAUGCACCGAAGCUGCGGCAGCGACGCUGAUGCGUUGUUGGGUAGGGGAGCGUUCUGUAAGCCUGCGAAGGUGUGCUGUGAGGCACGCUGGAGGUAUCAGAAGUGCGAAUGCUGACAUAAGUAACGAUAAAGCGGGUGAAAAGCCCGCUCGCCGGAAGACCAAGGGUUCCUGUCCAACGUUAAUCGGGGCAGGGUGAGUCGACCCCUAAGGCGAGGCCGAAAGGCGUAGUCGAUGGGAAACAGGUUAAUAUUCCUGUACUUGGUGUUACUGCGAAGGGGGGACGGAGAAGGCUAUGUUGGCCGGGCGACGGUUGUCCCGGUUUAAGCGUGUAGGCUGGUUUUCCAGGCAAAUCCGGAAAAUCAAGGCUGAGGCGUGAUGACGAGGCACUACGGUGCUGAAGCAACAAAUGCCCUGCUUCCAGGAAAAGCCUCUAAGCAUCAGGUAACAUCAAAUCGUACCCCAAACCGACACAGGUGGUCAGGUAGAGAAUACCAAGGCGCUUGAGAGAACUCGGGUGAAGGAACUAGGCAAAAUGGUGCCGUAACUUCGGGAGAAGGCACGCUGAUAUGUAGGUGAAGUCCCUCGCGGAUGGAGCUGAAAUCAGUCGAAGAUACCAGCUGGCUGCAACUGUUUAUUAAAAACACAGCACUGUGCAAACACGAAAGUGGACGUAUACGGUGUGACGCCUGCCCGGUGCCGGAAGGUUAAUUGAUGGGGU